UGGGAAUUUGGACAAUGGGCGAAAGCCUGAUCCAGCAAUGCCGCGUGUGUGAAGAAGGCCUUCGGGUUGUAAAGCACUUUUGUCCGGAAAGAAAUCCUUGGCUCUAAUACAGUCGGGGGAUGACGGUACCGGAAGAAUAAGCACCGGCUAACUACGUGCCAGCAGCCGCGGUAAUACGUAGGGUGCAAGCGUUAAUCGGAAUUACUGGGCGUAAAGCGUGCGCAGGCGGUUUGCUAAGACCGAUGUGAAAUCCCCGGGCUCAACCUGGGAACUGCAUUGGUGACUGGCAGGCUAGAGUAUGGCAGAGGGGGGUAGAAUUCCACGUGUAGCAGUGAAAUGCGUAGAGAUGUGGAGGAAUACCGAUGGCGAAGGCAGCCCCCUGGGCAAGUACUGACGCUCAUGCACGAAAGCGUGGGGGAGCAAACAGGAUUAAUACCCUGGUAGUCCACGCCCUAAANGAUGUCAACUAGUUGUUGGGGAUUCAUUUCCUUAGUAACGUAGCUAACGCGUGAAGUUGACCGCCUGGGGAGUACGGUCGCAAGAUUAAAACUCAAAGAAUU
RNAcentral lists this ribosomal RNA (560 nucleotides) under uncultured bacterium. RNAcentral describes it as "partial 16S ribosomal RNA". It matches the Rfam family "Bacterial small subunit ribosomal RNA", at positions 357 to 910 of the family's 1533-position model. The record is from RNAcentral.